GAAAGGAAAGGAAAUCAGCCCCACUCCCCCCGCACGCCCUGCCUCCUAUCCCAUCUCCACCCCCUGCCACGCCCCUCACCGCGCGCCGCCGUGCGCCGCCACCGCCCACCCCGCCGGCGCGCCCACCCUCCCGACCGGCUACACGCGGAUGACGCUCGAGCGGACCUUCUGGAUCGGUUCAACACGGCGGCUCGAGCGGUUGGGGUGGCACGGCUGCUCGAUGCAGAACGGCGGCGGCGGCUGGAGCUUGCAGGGGCCGGAUCCGUGCGUGCCAGGGGUUGGGGAGGCUAAUCCGAAGGCGGGCGGCUAGGCGGGGGCUCACCGGUGACGACGAGGAAAGCCGAAGCGAGGGAUCCGGCGACCUAGGCAGCAGCUCGCUAAAGCCGGGCGACGGUGGACGGGGGCGUGAGACGGAGGGAUCCGGCGUGGCAGCGGAAUUCCUUGCAGGUAGAGAGCUCCAGGCCAUGGCGGGGCUUCAGUUUUCCCUGGUGGAAAAGAGAGAAAGAGGAGGAUUCAGGGAGGAGGAGAAGUAGGGAGAAGAAGGUGCGGGUGCGAGCUUGGGGAAGAGGGAGCCGAACGUCAAGUGAAAGACAGGGAGGAUCAGGGAUUCUUCUUAGCCGGCGUGUGCAGAGAAGAUGAACCAUGCAAAAACUCAGGGUGGACCACGGGGUCUUCACUGCUGGCGGAACAGGGCAUGGCUGCUACCAGGGUGAUCUAAAGGGAGUAUCUAGGUAUUAAUAUCUGUGAUGUGGCUAGCAAUGUUGGCAACAGCUAGAGCUACCUGGAACUUUUGAUUUUGGUGCCAAUAUGGAUGGAUUCAACUGGGUGACCCUCUGUCAGGUAUUGUUGUUUAGUUAUCCUGAGGGUGACGUGGAUAUGUUCUGUUUUAGAUCAAAGCUUGGUAUUGCUAGAAAACAUAUAUGUGAUGUGCACUGAGAUUUCAAAUAUAAAACAGCAGUGAUACAAUACACUGUUUCCCUUGCUAUCGAUGAUCACUUGAAGUAGCGUACCUUACAAUAAUAUUUCUCUCUUGGACCAUGAGUGCUGUUCAGUGGCAAUAUUCACUCUGAUGAAGGUAAUACUAAUGCACCUUUGCCAAGAAGGUUCUGCCUGUUCAAUGCAAUGACAGAAUGCUGAAACAUCAUGGUGUCCAUGCUAAAAUAUAAUGAUUCACCCCCUGGGUUCUUAUUGUUGUAUCCUCUUGUGGAAUAGUUUUUGGCCACCGUAUAUAUAUGAUAGAUGCCAAAAACUAUUCCCCAAAAAUCAUACAAGGGGCACACAAAAUGUAUAUGUACCCUUCUGUGCCUACUUCGCCGCAGGUAUCUUUUUGUGUGUGCAAAUAAUGAUGGAGCUAUUUUUGAUUUACAACUAGAGUUUACUGAUGGUUAUAGGAUGAAAAACAGGGCAUAUAAGUUGCAAGAUUUUGAAUAGCAAUUCCUAUCUAUAUGUUCUGCACUUGGAUGAAAGUGCGGACCGGCUCCUGUAGUAGCUAUUUUUGAUUUACAACAGAGUUUACUUAUGGUUAUAGGAUGGAAACUUUGUAUUAUUUUGCCAUCUUCUUUCCUUUGUGAAACUCGCUGCAGCAAGUAGAAAUUUAAAUUGAUGCAAGCAAUUAUCUGUUUUUGAUUGUCCAGCUAAAGAGUUUUGAAUGCUGAAAACAUCAACCAAGGUACAACAGAGCCUCCUUAGACAAUUCUAUGUUAGUUUUCCAAUGUAGCUGACCAGCUAAGGCCUGAGCUCCUUAACUUUCCAUCUUCAGCAACUAUUUUCGAGGACAUCCUUGUGAUUUUAAAGACGAAGAAGAGAGUUCUCUUACUAGCUAUAUAUAUUAUUACUAAUCAAGGUGCGCCAGUCCCUUGAUUGUUCUGCAUGCAAUGAUGUGUUUGACAUGCUUGAAAAAAAAAAACAAGAGACUUACUCAGUGGUCAAGGGCAGAAUGUAGACUUACUGUAACUAGCUACCAAUGUGACAUACUAUUGGUCAGGUUUCACAACUAAAUAAUAUGCUGGAGUUCUCCUAUUCUGGAACAAAUUCACCAUGCCUGGAAUUGAUCAUUCAGUGGUGCAGUUCAAAUGGUGUAUCCUCCGUUUGUCAUAAGUUCUGAGGAUCUUAUGAUCAAGAUAGAUCAUGAUGGGUUUCAUACGUGAAAUUUUGCUUAAUGGAUGCUCCAAGUUUCCUCUGAUCAGCAUACCUAUGGGAUACAGGCCUCUGUUUUCCCCUGGAACUGCUGAACUUUUGUUUCCUCUGAUGCAGGAGCAACACUUCCAGUUUGAUUGCAUGAGGGAAGGGUCUGACUUCAAUUGCUUCAGGGUAGUAGUACAUGUUUUUCUUUCUUUGCGUAGAAGCGUAGUACAUGGGGUAAAACAUGUCGAGAACUGAACUUUAGUAGCAAGGACAACAAAGUUAUCUGAAAAUACUGUCUAGAUGGUCAUAGAACGCCAAACAGUAAGAAAAACUGUAAAGAAAUGCGAACCAAAAGGAAGGGGCAAAUUGUUCUGUAAUGUGAGAGGUCCGAUUGAACUCUGUAGUGGUUAUCUUAUUUCUAUUGGUUCUGUGCUAACUUGCUUAUGUAUGCAAGUUACUCUGAAGCAACACGAUAAACAAGUACAUUCAUUUUGAUCAUGAAAAUAAGGUCUAUCUAGCAUAAUCUAAUUUGUGUAUCGUUAUUUCGUACAUUCAUUUUUACUUUGGUCCAUAAGUUUCCAGAGAUCUUCUAUUUGAAACAACCAACCCGUUCUUCUUUCGAGAAUGUAGAAGCUAUAUAAGUAUACUUAUUUUCAAUAUAUGUUGAAGAAUUUGGUACCAACAGAAUUUUCCGCAACUAACAGUGUGCACAUUUGUCAUGGUUGAAUUUCUUUUAUUAUUGAAAACCUAAGAUUAGAAGUAUACCGAGAGUCAUGGUUAGAAGUUGAAUGCUAAGGGGUGUAAUAAUUGAUUUGGGUCAUAAUAAAUUAAAUCAAAUGUGAUGAUUUUUUUCUCCCGUUGCAACGCACAGGCCUUUUUGCUAGGAGAGGUAGGAGAAGAAGGAAGGGUGCGGCAGGGUGCAGCGGUGCGAGGGCACUGGUCUCCCGCGUGAGGAGCGCCUCUCCUCGGGAGGAUCUGGAGGGAGUGAGUGAAACUCAAAUCCACUUCAGAGCAAGGUACUGUUGUAGAAGUACGAAGAAGCAAGCUGACCAGAUGUACAAGUAGUAGCCGGCAACGACGAUGAAGCAAGCCAACCAGAUGUGCACGAAACGACCAUACAUCAUGCCUGAUUGAUCCUCCGGUACGUGUUUCAUUGGCCAAUAGCCCAUGCUAGCUAGCUAGCAACCAUGUAAAUUUCCCACGCUUGAUUUAUUCCUUUAGGACUUUAUUAAUUUUAUAUGUUCUUCCCAUGAUUAUCUAGAUAAUACUAACUGUUGAUGUUUCUUUCACGCAUACAUGGCUUUGCUAGGAGUUUUUCCACUGGUGAGGUCUGAACUCUGAAUACUAUGAACUUAAGGAUAAAUCUUAUAGCAGAUCAAAAUCAUGGUCCACGCAAAAAAAAAAGAGAUCAGAAUCAUGGUUGUGCUGAUUCCAUAGGGGCCUCAUGAUGGUUUGUUUUCUUUUAUUCAAAUGAAAAAACCAAGAUUAUUAUUGUAACUGUUACAGUUGUACUAGCAGGAUUAUCCUAGAAGCUGUGCCAAUUUUUCAUCAAUUGAUAACACAGUAAGCAUGUUAAAGUCCAGCAAUUGACUUGGCUUAUUGUUUUGGAAAUCGCAACUGGUGCUUUCCUGCUUGUUUUUAUGAUCACUUGUGUUGUUACUGCCUCCAGAAGCUGCAAUCUAAAGCCUUCUAUAAGAAUAUCAUCACAGAGUAUAUCAAAAAGUUGGAGCGACGAGAUAACAGCACUGAUUGGCUGUUCAUGAGCACUGGACAACCAGCACAAGAGCAAGGCCUUCUUCAAGGCUGAUGUGUGCAUCUCCAAACGAAGAAGCAGAUAUCCACUAAGAAGAAACUCAUCCGAGUUCUCAACUUGAAAUCAAAUUGGCCAGCUACGUUUCAAAGUAUGAGAUGUGGUUGGGCAAUAAAUUGCAUCCCCUAUGCCAAGCCUACCGAGUUCACUAAAGCAACAAGCAGGGGAUCACCUUGAUGCAUAUCGCCAUCACAUUCAGACCCAAAGAUCUGGGAGCUGCAGUCUGGGCAUGAUUAACUGGGCAGUGCCAAAGUCAAGCUUCCGGAUGGUGGCGACAACAAUGGUGGCUGGAGGCGACGGGAUUAGCAGCGUGGCAAACAGUAGCGCGCAGCGUUUCACUGUAGGGCGUGUGGCCAGUGCUUGCGGCGGUUGUGGAUGAUGAAGUACUGGACCUGCGGUGGACGACCAUCCGCAAGAUCUACAUCAUCAUCUUUGGGUCAGUUUGCCAUGAAGGCCAUUCUGCGAACGAGGUUGUUCAUGUCCCUCCUCAUGUACAGUUGUACUUCUAUUCUAGGAUUUCAACUCUGCACUCCAUUCCGCGUCCUGAAUAUUCAGAGUCUCGAGUUUGCAUGAGUCUCGAUUUGAUUAAAUGAACAGGUCAGUAAGAUAGAUUUUUGGUCGAGGA
Molecule: long non-coding RNA, 4559 nt
Organism: Triticum aestivum (bread wheat)
Lineage: Eukaryota; Viridiplantae; Streptophyta; Magnoliopsida; Poales; Poaceae
Exons: 8
Source: RefSeq, a predicted model, not a curated record